CGGAAGGAUGAAAGAUGUGUUUUGAAAAUGCCACGUGACUACCGUCCUCCUCCCUCGCGGAUCAGUCCGCAUGUUCACGGUGCAUUUUUUAUGGAAUAUGUUGAGCAAACCUGGAGAAGCGUCAGCUCAAGAUAUUAUUGUUGUCAUUGCUGUGGAUCUUUACCUGAUACACUGACUUGGCUCGGGACCAGCACUCCUGUUGUUGGACAGAAAGACAUCAACUCAGUGACUUGAGAUAUGACUGCACUGUGCUGUUGCUGUGACUCCAGUUAAUUCUACAAGACAUGUUGU
This is a long non-coding RNA of Pelmatolapia mariae (spotted tilapia), 291 nucleotides long. RefSeq lists it as uncharacterized. Lineage: Eukaryota; Metazoa; Chordata; Actinopteri; Cichliformes; Cichlidae. The transcript is spliced from 3 exons. The record is from RefSeq and is a predicted model, not a curated record.